RNAcentral lists this ribosomal RNA (253 nucleotides) under uncultured bacterium. RNAcentral's name for it is "partial 16S ribosomal RNA". It matches the Rfam family "Bacterial small subunit ribosomal RNA", at positions 524 to 776 of the family's 1533-position model. The record is from RNAcentral.
UACAGAGGAUGCAAGCGUUAUCCGGAAUGAUUGGGCGUAAAGCGUCUGUGGGUGGCUUUUUAAGUCCGCCGUCAAAUCCCAGGGCUCAACCCUGGACAGGCGGUGGAAACUGCCAAGCUGGAGUACGGUAGGGGCAGAGGGAAUUUCCGGUGGAGCGGUGAAAUGCGUAGAGAUCGGAAAGAACACCAACGGUGAAAACACUCUGCUGGGCCGACACUGACACUGAGAGACGAAAGCUAGGGGAGCGAAUGGG